CAGGGAAUCGUGCGCAAUGGACGAAAGUCUGACGCCGCAAUGCCGCGUGGAGGAUGAAGGCCUUAGGGUCGUAAACUCCUUUUGCCAAACAGGAGAUGGUUUGGAGAAUAAGUGACUGCUAACUCUGUGCCAGCAGCCGCGGUAAUACAGAGGUCACAAGCGUUAUCCGGAUUUAUUGGGCGUAAAGCGUUUCGUAGGUGGGUUUAUAAGUUAUUUUUCAAAUACCGAGGCUCAACCUCGGGAAGGGAGAUAAUACUGUAAGUCUUGAUUUUUGGUGGGGUAUCUGGAACUGAUGGUGUAGUAGUGAAAUACGUUGAUAUCAUCAGGAACUCCAAGGGCGAAGGCAGGAUACUAACCAAUUAAUGACACUGAGGAACGACAGCUAGGGGAGCGAAAGGG
This 399-nucleotide ribosomal RNA is filed under the name uncultured bacterium. RNAcentral's name for it is "bacterial SSU rRNA". It matches the Rfam family "Bacterial small subunit ribosomal RNA", at positions 355 to 776 of the family's 1533-position model. The record is from RNAcentral.